Molecule: ribosomal RNA, 199 nt
Filed under: uncultured bacterium
Lineage: Bacteria
Description: partial 16S ribosomal RNA
Rfam family: Bacterial small subunit ribosomal RNA
Source: RNAcentral
ACGCUCGACACCUACGUGAGGCAGCAGUCGGGAAUAUUGCGCAAUGGAGGAAACUCUGACGCAGUGACGCCGCGUAUAGGAAGAAGGUUUUCGGAUUGUAAACUAUUGUCGUUAGGGAAGAGAAAGGACAGUACCUAAGGAGGAAGCUCCGGCUAACUACGUACCAGCAGCCGCGGUAAUCUGAGCGGGCUGGCAAGGC